GUCAGCAGUCUUCAGGAGAUAAGAACCAGUACAAACAAAUAUGCCAGUACCGCAUAGUCUCCACAAACAGACAGUCAAUUGUAUCACACAACUACUACACUUUUUGUUUCAUGAAUCUGGGAGCUUUAUGCACACAAGCAACUCAUGACACGAGGUUCUCGGUCAGCGACAGAGAAGCUAGCUGAUCCGCUGCAUUGCCAGCUUGCUGCUGCUGAGCUGCAGCAACAUUCCUCAAAACCUCCAUAGCUUCGGCUACUUUGGCCUUCAAAGCCUCUGGGGACUCUAGUAAAUGCAAA
This 296-nucleotide unclassified non-coding RNA is filed under the name Hevea brasiliensis (rubber tree). The record is from RNAcentral. Lineage: Eukaryota; Viridiplantae; Streptophyta; Magnoliopsida; Malpighiales; Euphorbiaceae.